RNAcentral lists this ribosomal RNA (1025 nucleotides) under Staphylococcus aureus M0406. RNAcentral's name for it is "bacterial SSU rRNA". It matches the Rfam family "Bacterial small subunit ribosomal RNA", at positions 8 to 1014 of the family's 1533-position model. Lineage: Bacteria; Bacillati; Bacillota; Bacilli; Caryophanales; Staphylococcaceae. The record is from RNAcentral.
AGAGUUUGAUCCUGGCUCAGGAUGAACGCUGGCGGCGUGCCUAAUACAUGCAAGUCGAGCGAACGGACGAGAAGCUUGCUUCUCUGAUGUUAGCGGCGGACGGGUGAGUAACACGUGGAUAACCUACCUAUAAGACUGGGAUAACUUCGGGAAACCGGAGCUAAUACCGGAUAAUAUUUUGAACCGCAUGGUUCAAAAGUGAAAGACGGUCUUGCUGUCACUUAUAGAUGGAUCCGCGCUGCAUUAGCUAGUUGGUAAGGUAACGGCUUACCAAGGCAACGAUGCAUAGCCGACCUGAGAGGGUGAUCGGCCACACUGGAACUGAGACACGGUCCAGACUCCUACGGGAGGCAGCAGUAGGGAAUCUUCCGCAAUGGGCGAAAGCCUGACGGAGCAACGCCGCGUGAGUGAUGAAGGUCUUCGGAUCGUAAAACUCUGUUAUUAGGGAAGAACAUAUGUGUAAGUAACUGUGCACAUCUUGACGGUACCUAAUCAGAAAGCCACGGCUAACUACGUGCCAGCAGCCGCGGUAAUACGUAGGUGGCAAGCGUUAUCCGGAAUUAUUGGGCGUAAAGCGCGCGUAGGCGGUUUUUUAAGUCUGAUGUGAAAGCCCACGGCUCAACCGUGGAGGGUCAUUGGAAACUGGAAAACUUGAGUGCAGAAGAGGAAAGUGGAAUUCCAUGUGUAGCGGUGAAAUGCGCAGAGAUAUGGAGGAACACCAGUGGCGAAGGCGACUUUCUGGUCUGUAACUGACGCUGAUGUGCGAAAGCGUGGGGAUCAAACAGGAUUAGAUACCCUGGUAGUCCACGCCGUAAACGAUGAGUGCUAAGUGUUGGAGGGUUUCCGCCCUUCAGUGCUGCAGCAAACGCAUUAAGCACUCCGCCUGGGGAGUACGACCGCAAGGUUGAAACUCAAAGGAAUUGACGGGGACCCGCACAAGCGGUGGAGCAUGUGGUUUAAUUCGAAGCAACGCGAAGAACCUUACCAGGUCUUGACAUCCUUUGACCACUCUAGAGAUAGAGCUU